Molecule: long non-coding RNA, 437 nt
Organism: Pseudopipra pipra
Lineage: Eukaryota; Metazoa; Chordata; Aves; Passeriformes; Pipridae
Exons: 4
Source: RefSeq, a predicted model, not a curated record
AGCCACUUGAACAAGAAAAGCCUUUCUAAACAAGGGCAUUUCUGAGGCUCUUGCUGGUUUUUUUGCCUUCCAGCUGACCAUCUUUGACUUCAGGGAGGUUGGUCUCAGGCUCAGGAAGAAGCCGGACAGCCCUCAGGAGACAAAGCUGCCCAAGACUGUCCGGCCCCCAGGCACGAGUGAGAACUCCAGUUCCAAGCAUGCCUGCUGUGUCAGCGAUCAGAGGCUGACCCGGACAUCUGCGGAGAAAACCUUCAGAUAAAUGGGCUCUGGGCCCACGAGUUCUGCCGGAUUUUUACCAGCCACCUUCCUCACCACCCGGCUCACUGAGGAGGACUCAGGGCUUUUCUCCCAAGGGAUAUCCCAGAUAUAGUCUCCUGGGCGGCACAGCAGAGCUGCUGCAUCUGUGGCCAGAGCGGGGCCACCAUCCCCUGCUGUGA